GCUGCUUCUUGGCCUUUUGGCUAAGAUCAAGAGUAGUAUCUGUUCUUAUCAGUUUAAUAUACAUCCUCUGUCCUCGGACAUUAUAUUAAAUGGAUUUUUGGAGCUGGGAGAUGGAAUAGGAGCUUGCUCUGUCCACUCUGCACAUCAACCCGGUAUUGCAGUAUUUCUGGGAACAGUGCACCCCCU
Artibeus jamaicensis (Jamaican fruit-eating bat) is the source of this 186-nucleotide small nuclear RNA. RefSeq annotates it as U2 spliceosomal RNA. The record is from RefSeq and is a predicted model, not a curated record. Lineage: Eukaryota; Metazoa; Chordata; Mammalia; Chiroptera; Phyllostomidae. The transcript has a single exon.